AGAAGAAAAAAAAAAAAAAAAACAGAAAUCAUGUGAUUUUCAUUUCUCUUAAACAUAGAAGACCAUAUCAUUAAUUUAAAAAAAAAAUACAUUACAAAUGGCUACAAGGUUUGACAUUAUAGAUAAGGCACUUAGGCCCAAAUCAAAGAGAAGCUAACUAAUCCAUUUAAAAUCCAAUACAAAUAGCGCUCUGUAAAAACCGAACUUAAUUGAAAAAUUGAAAUGAAUCGAGUCUGUUUGGUUCAAUCAGUUUGAUUUUUUAGUUGGUUCAGUUUGAUUUGAUUUUUAGUUUUUAAUAUUUUUAGUUUUUCAGUUUGAUUUGAUUCUUGUAAAGAAAAAUAGAAAACCAAGCCAAACCGAUUUUCCUCUCUAAAGUGUAAAUUGAACCGUUUUUCCUCUCUAAAUCCGAUUUAAUCUCCCUAUAUAUAUAUAAGAUGUUAUCCCUAAACCUUAACCAUUUACCCAUUCUCAGUCGCCUCUACCAAACAGUCAAUAACCUAGCCCUCACUUCUCUCUCUCUGCUCUCAAACAUCACAGACUCUCUUUCUCCUCUUCCUCUUCUUCUUCACAUCACCAUCAACCCAUCUUCACGCUUCUUCUUCUUCAAUGCAGCAUGCCAACAUCAUCACCACUGUUCAGUCAUCACUCAUGCAUCAUCUUCUGCGUCUUCAAUUAUCACACUCAAAUCCCAAAUGGGUAAAGUUAAGAUGCUAUUUGAAUUUGAGAUC
RNAcentral lists this unclassified non-coding RNA (728 nucleotides) under Hevea brasiliensis (rubber tree). The record is from RNAcentral. Lineage: Eukaryota; Viridiplantae; Streptophyta; Magnoliopsida; Malpighiales; Euphorbiaceae.